Molecule: long non-coding RNA, 1161 nt
Organism: Panicum virgatum (switchgrass)
Lineage: Eukaryota; Viridiplantae; Streptophyta; Magnoliopsida; Poales; Poaceae
Exons: 3
Source: RefSeq, a predicted model, not a curated record
CGCGUGCGCCACCAGGACGGAUCCCCCGGGUGUGCCACAGUAUCGAUCUCCUCCGUGUGAGGCGUAGUCUCCUCCAUGCUCGGGACGGCUCCUCCGCGCCCGCCGCCGGUUUUCGUCUCCUCCACCCGCACCUGGGAUGGCUCCUCCGCGCGUGUUAUGGUUGAUUAUUAGUUGGGUUCUGAUUUUGGGAUUCAUGGCUCUUGUGUAUUGAGGUGACAAACUAUAACAAUCAACGACCAAGCAGGUUUGGUAGUGUGAACUAUCUCCCUGGAUUGCUUUCCUUGUAAUCUUGUUGCCCUGUAUAUGAUAGAUGCUGCUACUUGGAGGCGUUUUACAUUUUAGUUGUCAAAAUUACCUCUUCAGAAAACAGACUAGCAUAUUCUUUAUUGUUAAACAAGGGAACCUGUUCUUCAAUCCUCUUUUAGAAACCAUGGAAUUCUUGGCACGUUUUUGUAGAUUUAUAGGUGGGGCCAAUUAGCUAACUGAAUUGUGAGUAAUGCUUAAUAUUUUUUUAAUAUGAACAGUGAAUGGGAUGUAACACUGAGGGACAGCUAUGCCUCUUAUAUUGGGCACUAUCCAAUGUUGGCAUAUCUUGCUAUUGCUGAAAAUGAAUCAAUUGGAAGAAAGCAUUACAAUUUUAUGCAGAUUUGUCUAUGAGGAAUGGCCUGUAUCUUCCCCAAGCAAAAUUAUCUGGAGUACAUGAGGCUCUGGCACCCUCAGAAGUAUGUGCCAUGCUGCAAAGUGGCGUCAAGGCAUCAGAUUCUGGGAUUGCCCUACUUCCUGUAAACCAAAUUAAAGUUCUCAUCCUCGCAUGUGUAGUUUUCUUUUCAUCUUUUGCUUCCUGCUGCUUUGUUUGGUCUGUGCAGGUUCAGAACAUAAUACCUCUUCUUCUUCGACGACAGUAGCUUGUGCAUGAAGUAGCAGUGGCUUGGGCUCACAAUGCAGCGCAAAGGAGUCUGCAGCUCGAGAGGCAUCGUUUCAGGAGCUGCAGGUGAUUCUGUUGUGAGGUUUGCGAACAGCAGCUCAGCUUAGUUCUGAAUUGUGUGGAGUGUCUCUAUCAUUGCUAUGUAAUCUAAUCUUCGACUCCAUAUUUUAUUCCUUGCCUGCUUGUUUUAGCUUUUGGGUUCGUCAUGUGAAGUAGUCAGUAGUUUAAUUCUUCAA